CCUACGGGAGGCAGCAGUGGGGAAUUUUGGACAAUGGGGGCAACCCUGAUCCAGCCAUGCCGCGUGAGUGAAGAAGGCCUUCGGGUUGUAAAGCUCUUUCGGCCGGAACGAAAUCGCGUACGCAAAUAACGUGCGUGGAUGACGGUACUGGAAGAAGAAGCACCGGCUAACUACGUGCCAGCAGCCGCGGUAAUACGUAGGGUGCGAGCGUUAAUCGGAAUUACUGGGCGUAAAGCGUGCGUAGGCGGUUCUGCAAGUCAGAUGUGAAAUCCCCGGGCUUAACCUGGGAACUGCGUUUGAAACUACGGAGCUAGAGUGUGGCAGAGGGGGGUGGAAUUCCACGUGUAGCAGUGAAAUGCGUAGAUAUGUGGAGGAACACCGAUGGCGAAGGCAACCCCCUGGGCCAACACUGACGCUGAGGCACGAAAGCGUGGGGAGCAAACAGGAUUAGAUACCCUGGUAGUCCACGCCCUAAACUAUGUCAACUAGUUGUCGGGAAAGCAAUUUCUUGGUAACGAAGCUAACGCGUGAAGUUGACCGCCUGGGGAGUACGGUCGCAAGAUUAAACUCAAAGGAAUUGACGG
This 584-nucleotide ribosomal RNA is filed under the name uncultured bacterium. Its description in RNAcentral is "bacterial SSU rRNA". It matches the Rfam family "Bacterial small subunit ribosomal RNA", at positions 338 to 916 of the family's 1533-position model. The record is from RNAcentral.